Long non-coding RNA from Daphnia magna, 1078 nucleotides. RefSeq lists it as uncharacterized. The record is from RefSeq and is a predicted model, not a curated record. The transcript is spliced from 3 exons. Lineage: Eukaryota; Metazoa; Arthropoda; Branchiopoda; Diplostraca; Daphniidae.
CUUUAUCAGAAUAUUUUGGUUCUAAAAAUAAAAUAAAACAAAAUGAAAUGAGAAAGUUAUUCCUUUUCACCUCCUUUUGUUUUCGAAUAACACCUGCCAUAUUUAGUACUAUACAGUUUCGUUCUGGAAAUCGGUGUACCAGUCAUCAACACGAUUUAUCUAAAAUUUCCAUGAUUCAACAGUGAGUGGAAAAGUGUCAAUAAUCAUCUCCAUUUCAACACAGGCAAUCUUAUUUUUUAAAUAAAAGCUGGUGUGAUUCCUUAGAGGGCACAUGGUAGUUGUCAUCUAAGUAACGCUGGGGUUAGAAAUGAGAUCAUGAAAAGAAUAGGAAAAGUGACUGAGGGCUGGGUGUUCAUGGCGGACAUAUUUGUUUGAAUUCCGGAUCUGUGAUUGGUCAGAGCAAACUCCAUCAAGCGAGCAAGAUGGGCAAAUGUUAUUUGAGGAAAGGUGACAUUUCAGCACGAGACAAAAGUUCGAUUGUAAACCUUUAUGUAAGUGAAACGGAUUGUAAAACAACUAGAUGAGAGCAAGGAGCCCACGGAAAGGAAAUAAUAACAAUAGAGUUGUUUUAAUAUUUUAUUGUGUCGAGUAGAAAACAAAAAUGGAGAAAAGUUCCCCAAAGUAAGCUCAGGGGUCGUCAAACCGUUGACGAUAUUUUACGAUGUUAAUUCUCCCACCCGAAUUGUGUCCAGUAUUUAAACUACAAAUUGUGAGAGAUGUUUUAGAAGACAAACCAAGAAAGGUGAUGUCUGCAAACUGAAUAUUUCAAAUCAGCAAUUACAAAUUGGCCUCUGUUGUUUAUCUUUUGCUUUUAAAAAUUGAAGAGACUAUAAAAAUGCCGGAAACAACGGAUGCUACUCGACUUUCUCAGUGUCUUACAAUAUGCAAGUUUUGCCCUACUUGUUGCAUAACCAGGAUAUGCAUUUGUGGCCGAUGUACAACUUUUUUUUUGUAAAUUUAGGUAAUCCAAAUCUUUAUACGUGGAAAAGUAUGUUUUAUUCUCCCGAUUCACUCGAAUGACAAACGUGUUUUUAUGUUUCUAAUGGCAAAUAUUCAUACAGAUUCUCUGUUGAGUCAA